UUGUUUUUCGAUCGGGGGUUUUUAUUUGCUGCUAAGUUGGGAUUUUGUUUGCGCCGCCAGAUUCGAACACGCAUUCUUCUUGAAACGGGGAGCUCCAACAACGUUUUGCCGCAACCCUGUAGAACGUUGCAAAUCCGGCAAGAUUCCACCUCGAAGUUCGCGGCGGUACACGCGCCGAAAUCCACCGCCGUGAGAUCGCGGGCUUGGCUUAGCUUACUGAGAAAUGUCAGGAGGGACCGCCCAAGUUUGAGGAAGCUUUGGACGCUUUGGACGGUUAUGGAAAAUACGCGAAGUAGGUGAAUUGACGACCAAGUUGGAGAAGAAGUACUGCAAGUGCGGUGGCAAGCGGCUUUCGUGACUGGGUGGUGGGAGCCAGACUACGAAACAUUGCGAUCAUGCGCGAGCAAGAGCUGUCCUUUGAGGAGGGCGUUGUCGCAGCGGUCGUGCCUCCAAGAGCCGCGCCAAAAUCAUCGAGUUAAACGUGCUACUGUUUUACAAAAUGCUCUUUGCUCGAUCGAUUGUUCCGUUCUCUUCGUCGAAGAUGCCAGCUAGCUCAAGUCCAUCCAGAGUUAGAUCUUCAUGGUGUUUACAAACUUAAACAUCGUGUACAAAUUGUAGCUCACGGGAACGCCGCUGCAGAACCAUAUGGAAGUUAAGAACAAGUUCGACCUUGGGAACGAUCCAGAACGAGACCGAUGUAUCAGGUAUCAGGGUCAUGAGCUGUGCAAAAUGAUGUGCCCGCACUAGCUGCUAGGUGUCAAAGCGGACGUGCUGAAGAACAUGCCCGCCAAGUCUGAGUUUAUCGUGCACUUGGAUCUGUCCCCGAUGUUUUUUUUUUAAGUACGACAUAACGCGUUACUUUGAGGUGUUGGUCCCUAAGGCCGUUGGCGUUACCUGCUUGCUUAUCACCAUUAUGUUGGACCUAAAGAAGUUCUGCAACCAUCAGUACUUAUACGUACAGGUUCUGCUGAGCCGAGAAUAAACUACGAAGUUACGUCGCAGACGAAGGCGGCCGGCAAGUUGGUGCGGAACGCUGCGUCAGGAGUUUCUGCUAAGGCACCGAGAGCGCAUCAGAUUUGCUUUCUGCUAUUGAUCGUGGGUUACAACUUGGCCACGAAAGACGCACUCAUCAUCUACGAUUCGGAGAACAAUCCGCAUAAAGAUUAUCAGACGUUUUCGCGUGUCAACGUACCGGACAAGCCAAUGAAUAAUAAUUUUUGUACCCUCUUGGUGGUACGACCUGGAACCUGGGACGGGCGAGUUAGACGAUAUUCUGCGAUUUGGUACGGAGGAACUUUUUAAGAAAGAGUUGAGUUUUUUCAAACUAACAAUGUAAUAAAAUUCAAUAAAUUUUAUUUUAUUUUAAACAUUUUUUGUACUUUUUUAAAUGUGUGUAUUCUUUCAUCCCUUUGAUCGAUAUGUCAGAUGGAAACAAACUUUUUUACUAUUUCUACAUAAUUUCCAUCAUCUGGGGUGAAUUGGGACAGCUGUUUUAGCCAGGUACUUGCCCUAUAUUUUUAUAUUUUAUAUUGAUUUUGGAUAGAACAGAUACAGAUCAACUAAAUUAAAACAUCGAUUUCUUAAUUUGAAGAAUUGAAUGAUUUUGCCAUUUACAGUAGUUUGUCCUUAUUCAGACUGUAGUCCCGA
This is a long non-coding RNA of Culex quinquefasciatus (southern house mosquito), 1647 nucleotides long. RefSeq lists it as uncharacterized. The transcript has 3 exons. NCBI's taxonomy places the organism in Eukaryota, Metazoa, Arthropoda, Insecta, Diptera, Culicidae. The record is from RefSeq and is a predicted model, not a curated record.